Molecule: long non-coding RNA, 2191 nt
Organism: Gopherus evgoodei (Goodes thornscrub tortoise)
Lineage: Eukaryota; Metazoa; Chordata; Testudines; Testudinidae
Exons: 3
Source: RefSeq, a predicted model, not a curated record
AAAGAUCCAAAAAUCGGGACUGUCCCUAUAAAAUCAGGACACCUGGUCACCCUAGUCUAGCCCCAGCCCUGCCCCGCGUGUCCCUGCCUGAGUGAAAGCAGCGAGGCUCUCCCUUGCCUGCUGCCUUCCUGGGCUGCCUCAGGCUGUAGCAAGAGCAGUGGCCGGCUGAGGCAGCACCUCAGGAGGGGAGCAGGCAGGGGCAUACACUUUGCAGCCCUCCCCUCCCCCGGCACCUACCUGGAGGAGACACCGAGAGGGCUUCUGGCCAAGAGACAUCUGGAGUGAACCUCACUCACCUGAGCAGCUGCUGGGGCUUCAGGCAACAGAAGAUAACCAAGGGAGCAGACUUUAUCUGAAUCCUAACAAUGGACAGGCAGCUUGGCUGAGAGUCCAGUGGCUCAAUCACACAGCAGAAGGAUGGUGAUUAAUUCCAUCUUAAUGCUUCACUUCAACAUGGAUCACUGAGACUGUAAACUGCUACAUUCACUUGCCUGGACCUGUUCUUCAAUCCUAUUUAAAUCAAUAGGAAUUUUCUCAAUCACUUCAAAUGGGAACAGGAGCAGGCUCUAGAGGUCUAAUGAUCCAAGACAGCAGCAGUGACCAAAGGUCUCUUCUUCCAGCUCCAGCCGUCCAGAAGGAUGCACCCUUCACUGCUGAAUGAGAUCCAGACUGCACCCUCCUCACUUAUAGACUACUGAAACACAUCCUAUCUAAGAAUGACCACUAAGGCCAAAUGGAGGCAUAUUCCAAGGGGUAGCUGGAGUGCACAGCAUAUGGUGGCAGUAUGAAUCCAAUUCAAGGUGCUGGACUUCAGUUACAAAACCCCAUAAGGGCUGGGGCCUGACUAUUUCUGUAAACCCCUCUUAGGGCUGAGCCUCACUCUUACUACCUUCAGGGAAUAUUUCAUUAAAUAUCUCUUCAUGCAGACAUUUUUCCAAACUGUUGAAUGCACCCACUGACUUGUCUAACUGGAGACUGGGAUGGAAGUGGUGAGAAUGAGAGAACUACGCUCUUGUACACAAAUAAAUUUACCAAGGUGUUGUUUGUAGAUUAUGUAGGCUGAACUUAUUGCAAUGCUCUUUGUAUUCCUCCAUUCCCUCUCCCACAAGCUCUCUGUAUGCCCACCAUCCCAGCCCCUUCUUUUUCCAGGAAUUUCCUGCAAUUCACCCGAAUCUCUUCCCUGCAAGGGUCUGUGUGCCCCUCACUUCCCUCUUCUUCCAUAUCAGAUCCCUCACUCGCUCCCCAUACCAGCAGCUCAGCAUGCAACCUAUUAUCCUCUUUCCCCCAUACUCCAUUCCUCAUACGAGGGUCCUCCAAUCAACCCCCCACCAGGAGGUCUGUGUGCCCCUCAUACCAAAUCCCCCAUGCCAGGGGCUGUGUCUGCUCCAAUUCUCUGAAGGCCCUUCAUUCUGGCCCCCAAGCCAGGGGCUGUGUGCACGCUUAUUCCCCACCUUCCCUGGGUCCCUCAAUCUUCCCCCAGCAUGGGCUCUGUGCCCCCCAAUCCUCUCUCCCCCAUAUCAGAUCCCCCAAACUCCAUUCCCCCCAACCAGAGGUUCAAUGUGCUCCUUUCUUCCCUCCCUCCAUAUGAGGGUCCCCAAUUUUCCCCUAACAUUCCAGCAGCUGUGUGAACUUCUCUCUGCUCCCCUCAGGCCCCUCCAUUUCCCUUUCCCCCUACCACCAUUAUUUUCUGUCCAGAAGAGAAGUCAUUCAGCAUGUCAAUGCGUUACACUAUUGGGAGGAUAAGCUGACAUGAGCAUAGGUAUUGUUGUGCUGGAAAGUGUGAUCUACAGAUAACUGUAGAUAUGCUAGAGGCUGUGGCUAAAGAGCUGUCAGGGGCUCUUUUGUUCCCCAAUCUCCCUCCCUUUUGAUUUUCUGCUCUUCUCCAAGAUCAAAUAGGAUUCUGACAAUUAAUGCCUAGAACAUUCUCUGAAAUUUUGGAACUAACUGGAUGGAGUUUUCAAAAGUUAUCCCAUUACAAAAAGAGAAAUGCCACUGAGGUGACUGUAGGGACUUUGCAAGCUCAGAUAAGAGUGCCAAAUUAUUAUAGUGAUGGGUACUUUAGAAAUGCUUGUAAUAAACAAUGUUACAUUUACUUCUCAUUGACUUAAUGAUACAAACUAACAAACCAGAAAUCUAAACUUCAAGGCUUGGGUGAAAGGUCACCUGCCUUUCACACAUGCACAGACCUUUU